CAUGUACUCCCUCCAUUCCAAAUUAGUUGACUUGAAUUUGUCUAAAUAUGAAUGCAUCUAUAUUUAUUUAGUGUCUAGAUGCAUCCGUGUCUAGAUAAAUAUGGGUCAAGUAAUUUAGAACGAAGGGAGUAGAGA
Molecule: non-coding RNA, 135 nt
Organism: Triticum aestivum (bread wheat)
Lineage: Eukaryota; Viridiplantae; Streptophyta; Magnoliopsida; Poales; Poaceae
Source: Rfam